Molecule: microRNA precursor, 73 nt
Filed under: Myotis brandtii (Brandt's bat)
Lineage: Eukaryota; Metazoa; Chordata; Mammalia; Chiroptera; Vespertilionidae
Description: mir-9193 microRNA precursor family
Rfam family: mir-9193 microRNA precursor family
Source: Rfam by way of RNAcentral
GCCGGGGGGAGGGGUCCCUCAGCCCAGAUUGCAAGAGGGCACAGGCCAGGCCGAGGGACCCCACUGGUGCACG